UUUUAAAACCGGUUUAAAAGCAAAAAAGGCAAUCCAAACAAACAUUGUUUGAUCAAAAUUUUCCUUAUAAGUAUUUUUUCUCGACGUAGCGGCAUAACAUGUAAUUAACUAGAGCAACAUGUCGAGGCAAAGGCAUUUUUGUUGUGACGACGAGACCGGCGAGAUCAUCACGUACCUCGUUAACGACGAGACGGGCGAGCCGACGCCAUCUUCGUCGUCCGGCGUGAUCGGGCCGCGCGCGUCCGCGGCUCCAACCGAGACCAUACAGUUUCCUAAGGGAUACAUGAGCAAAACGAAAAAAUUCCAAGCGUUAAAAGAGAAUAUAAUCAGAGGUUCCAAUGUGUUUAGUCCGAGGUUGCUUCUGAUACCGAUGGCAGCAGUUUUUCCAGCAGUUCUGAUCAUGUUACUUAUGAUUGCUGAAGUGUUUAUACACGUCUGCUGCCACAAACAGAACAAGUCGCUGAAGGACCCGAGCCUGUACUACCGCAGUCCGCUCCACAUGGUCACGAGCAUCUUCUGCGGAGUGUGCCGGGAGGACGAGAUGUCAUCCAAGAUCGGGCAGCUGCAGGAUCAGAGGAGGUGCCGCUAUGGUUACUUUAAGGGAAUGACUAUUUAGUCAUUUUAAUUUACAAGUAUCAAUGUGACAUAGAUAUAAUUAGACAUUUUAGAGAUCUGCCCAACUACCUCUGUAAUAAAGUAAUUUGGGGGGAGAGGGACAGUGAGCAGAUUGAGAAAUAUAACGAUUUUUUGUAAUAAUAGGUAAAGACUUGUGGUUAUGCCAGAAGAGUUAUACCAAUGCUCAAAUAAUUUGUGUUCGAAUGGUGGUCACUUAUUGUUAUUGGAUACACUGCAUAAUAAUAUAGUAAGUACUCUUAAAAAGGGCACGGAGUUUUCGCAUAAAGGUACAAUUAAUUGGCUUAAAAAACACUCAAUGCCAGGUUGGAACCGGCAUGUCAGCGACGCGCACAGGGGGGCGAGAUUGCGUUACCAGAUGUGGUUAACGUGUGGAAAACCUUUGCAUGGCGUGUGUACAAUAGCAUGCGAGAAUCAAGGCGAUUGUUUAAGUUAAAAUUGAAAUAUUGUCUGAAUAAUCAGCAACAAAUAAAAAUGGAUAUGAUAGCUAGAAGUCACUCUAAAAAACGUUUUGGUGUAUUUUGGAAGCGAACAAAAAGCCUAAAUCCUAAGUCGAGCCUUCCUGCAAGCAUUUCUGGUCUGCAUGAUCCUGCGGAUAUAGCUAAUGCUUUUAAAGAAAGUUUAAGGGUGCAUCCGCCGCUCUCUGAGCGGUCGGCGGUGCGUGAUUCCCAGGCCGUCAACACCACGAGUCUCACUGUAAAAUUUUCAAUAAAGGAUGUUGCCACGGUGAUAAAUUAUUAUUUAUGGUUAGAGGGAAAUCUCCGGGGUUCGACGGCCUCAGCGUCGAACAUCUAAAGUAUGCAGGUCCUCACCUACCCAGAGUACUUGCUUUGUUUUUUAAUUUGUGCAUUGCCCACUCUUACCUUCCGAAUGAACUAAUGUACACGGUAGCACCCCUCGUAGUGAAGAAUAGGACUGGAGAUGCCUCUGACAUGUCCAAUUACAGGCCAAUUUCGCUAGCUACUAUUCUGUCCAAGGUUCUGGACAGUCUCUACGUCUGCUUGAUAAACAACUCGCUAAGCACCUAAACUUGCACAACUCACAAUUUGGUUUUAGGCCGGGGUUGUCCAGGAGAGUGCAAUAUUGUGUCUCAAGCAAGCUGUUCCUGUACUACACUGAUAAAAAUACACCUGUUUUUGCCUGUUUUUGGACUUGUCAAAGGCAUUUGAUCUAGUAGACUAUAAUGCGCACUGGAAUAAGUUGCAGCAUGAAACCACACUACCGCCAGAGGUUGUCUUGAUGCCUCGCUACUGGUACGGCAAUAAAAAAUUACUGCACUCCCCUCCUAAUGGAAAUUUUUUAGGAACUGCGGGUCAAAAAUUUUGUUUUGACCUCUAGUAUAUAAUACGUGUGCCAAAUGGCUAACCUGGCCGCGUAGCCAAGAUGCCAAUCGCUUACGCUCCGUAGCGAUCGAAACGCAACUGUCACUGUCGCGCUAAUAUGGAAGAGUGAUAGAGACAUUAGAGACAGCAUUCGAUCACCUUGGCCAAGCCAAGCCGCCUGUACAUCGAUUUGCGGUUUUUCUAAGAAAUUGGGCUCGUACGGCUGCCGCUAUCUCAUGCGCGAGUGGGCUUGGGCCUAUAGUCCCCACGCUAGCCCAAUGCGGAUUGGGGACUUCACAUACACCUUUGAAUUUCUUCGCAGAUGUAUGCAGGUUUCCUCAAAUAUUGUACGUUAGGAUUUUAUUUAUUUUCAAAAUUUUACUAGUUGUUUUACUCGAAAUAAAGAUUUUAACUUUA
Molecule: RNA transcript, 2372 nt
Organism: Cydia splendana
Lineage: Eukaryota; Metazoa; Arthropoda; Insecta; Lepidoptera; Tortricidae
Exons: 3
Source: RefSeq, a predicted model, not a curated record